GCGGGAGUAGCUCAGGGGUAGAGCGUCUCCUUGCCAAGGAGAAGGCCGUGGGUUCAAGUCCCAUCUCCCGCUCCA
Molecule: transfer RNA, 75 nt
Filed under: Pseudomonadota bacterium
Lineage: Bacteria; Pseudomonadati; Pseudomonadota
Also listed under: 2 other names
Description: tRNA-Gly
Rfam family: tRNA
About the family: Transfer RNA (tRNA) molecules are approximately 80 nucleotides in length. Their secondary structure includes four short double-helical elements and three loops (D, anti-codon, and T loops). Further hydrogen bonds mediate the characteristic L-shaped molecular structure. tRNAs have two regions of fundamental functional importance: the anti-codon, which is responsible for specific mRNA codon recognition, and the 3' end, to which the tRNAs corresponding amino acid is attached (by aminoacyl-tRNA synthetases). tRNAs cope with the degeneracy of the genetic code in two manners: having more than one tRNA (with a specific anti-codon) for a particular amino acid; and 'wobble' base-pairing, i.e. permitting non-standard base-pairing at the 3rd anti-codon position.
Source: RNAcentral